UUAGUGGAAGCGUCUGGAAAGGCGCGCGAUACAGGGUGACAGCCCCGUACACAAAAAUACACAUAUUGUGAGCUCGACGAGUAGGGCGGGACACGUGGUAUCCUGUCUGAAUAUGGGGGGACCAUCCUCCAAGGCUAAAUACUCCUGACUGACCGAUAGUGAACCAGUACCGUGAGGGAAAGGCGAAAAGAACCCCGGCGAGGGGAGUGAAAAAGAACCUGAAACCGUGUACGUACAAGCAGUGGGAGCACGCUUAGGCGUGUGACUGCGUACCUUUUGUAUAAUGGGUCAGCGACUUAUAUUCUGUAGCAAGGUUAACCGAAUAGGGGAGCCGAAGGGAAACCGAGUCUUAACUGGGCGUUAAGUUGCAGGGUAUAGACCCGAAACCCGGUGAUCUAGCCAUGGGCAGGUUGAAGGUUGGGUAACACUAACUGGAGGACCGAACCGACUAAUGUUGAAAAAUUAGCGGAUGACUUGUGGCUGGGGGUGAAAGGCCAAUCAAACCGGGAGAUAGCUGGUUCUCCCCGAAAGCUAUUUAGGUAGCGCCUCGUGAAUUCAUCUCCGGGGGUAGAGCACUGUUUCGGCA
This 586-nucleotide ribosomal RNA is filed under the name Shigella sonnei. RNAcentral describes it as "partial 23S ribosomal RNA". It matches the Rfam family "Bacterial large subunit ribosomal RNA", at positions 329 to 920 of the family's 2925-position model. The record is from RNAcentral. Lineage: Bacteria; Pseudomonadati; Pseudomonadota; Gammaproteobacteria; Enterobacterales; Enterobacteriaceae.